CAGCCGUAAACAAUGUGCGUUAGGUAUGUCGGUAACCACGUGUUACUGAUGUGCCGAAGAGAAAUCGUGAAACGCACCACCUGGGAAGUACGUCCGCAAGGAUGAAACUUAAAGGAAUUGGCGGGGGGAGCACCGCAACGGGAGGAGCGAGCGGUUUAAUUGGAUUCAACACCGUAAAACUCACCAGGGAAGACUGUUACAUGAAAGCCGAGAUGAAGACUCUGCUAGAUUUUCAGAGAGGUGGUGCAUGGCGUCAGUGACU
This 262-nucleotide ribosomal RNA is filed under the name uncultured archaeon. RNAcentral's name for it is "partial 16S ribosomal RNA". It matches the Rfam family "Archaeal small subunit ribosomal RNA", at positions 748 to 1008 of the family's 1478-position model. The record is from RNAcentral.